AACGAACGCUGGCGGCAGGCCUAACACAUGCAAGUCGAACGAGACCUUCGGGACUAGUGGCUCACGGGUGCGUAACGCGUCGGAACCUGCCCUUAUGCUCGGAAUUACACUUCUAAAGGGGUGCUAAUACCGGAUAAUGUCUGCGGAUAACAGAUAUAACGCCUUUGGAUGAGCCCGCGUUGUAUUAGCUAGUCGCUAGUGUAAAAGCCUACCACGGCGACGAUCCAUAGCUGGUCAGAGAGCAUGAUAAGCCACGCUGAGACUAAGACACGGCCCAGACUCCUACGGGAGGCAGCAGUGGGGAAUAUUGGACUAUGGGCGAAAGCCUGAUCCAGCUAUGCUGCGUGAGUGAUGAAGGCCUUAGGGUUGUAAAGCUCUUUUACCCGGGAUGAUAAUGACAGUACCGGGAGAAUAAGCUCCGGCUAACUCCGUG
This 433-nucleotide ribosomal RNA is filed under the name uncultured bacterium. RNAcentral describes it as "partial 16S ribosomal RNA". It matches the Rfam family "Bacterial small subunit ribosomal RNA", at positions 29 to 507 of the family's 1533-position model. The record is from RNAcentral.